AUUGAACGCUGGCGGAAUGCUUUACACAUGCAAGUCGAACGGCAGCACGGGGCAACCUGGUGGCGAGUGGCGAACGGGUGAGUAAUACAUCGGAACGUGCCCAAUCGUGGGGGAUAACGUAGCGAAAGUUACGCUAAUACCGCAUACGAUCUACGGAUGAAAGCGGGGGAUCGCAAGACCUCGCGCGAAUGGAGCGGCCGAUGUCAGAUUAGGUAGUUGGUGGGGUAAAGGCUCACCAAGCCGACGAUCUGUAGCUGGUCUGAGAGGACGACCAGCCACACUGGGACUGAGACACGGCCCAGACUCCUACGGGAGGCAGCAGUGGGGAAUUUUGGACAAUGGGCGAAAGCCUGAUCCAGCCAUUCCGCGUGCAGGAUGAAGGCCUUCGGGUUGUAAACUGCUUUGUUACGGAACGAAACGGACGUCUUUCUAAUACAGGGGCGUAAGUGACGGUACCGUAAGAAUAAGCACCGGCUAACUACGUGCCAGCAGCCGCGGUAAACGUAGCGUG
RNAcentral lists this ribosomal RNA (511 nucleotides) under uncultured bacterium. Its description in RNAcentral is "bacterial SSU rRNA". It matches the Rfam family "Bacterial small subunit ribosomal RNA", at positions 30 to 534 of the family's 1533-position model. The record is from RNAcentral.